This 253-nucleotide ribosomal RNA is filed under the name uncultured bacterium. RNAcentral's name for it is "partial 16S ribosomal RNA". It matches the Rfam family "Bacterial small subunit ribosomal RNA", at positions 524 to 776 of the family's 1533-position model. The record is from RNAcentral.
UACGUAGGUGGCAAGCGUUGUCCGGAUUUACUGGGCGUAAAGAGCGCGCAGGCGGUCGUCCAAGUCGCGUGUGAAAGCCCCCGGCUCAACUGGGGAGGGUCACGCGAUACUGGUCGACUCGAAGGCAGGAGAGGGUAGUGGAAUUCCCGGUGUAGUGGUGAAAUGCGUAGAUAUCGGGAAGAACACCCGUGGCGAAGGCGGUUCUCUGGGACGGUACUGACGCUGAGACGCGAAAGCGUGGGGAGCGAACAGG